UUUCAAAAAGUACUUGCGCGCCCCGGAUCAUAUCCGUAUAGUUCGCGCCUCUUCCGGAGUGAAGGGUCAGCCAAAAGGACGAGGCGCUGCUUGAAAAACUUUUUGAAAAUUAAGGGUUUACAAGCAAAAGUUAAAGUGUAUAAUGCGCAGCUCCUGACGGAUGAGGAGCGAAUCACGAAGUCCGCGAAGCGGUGUUUGGGUUCGGCGUUUUGAGAAGGUUUUUGACGGCUCUUCGGAGCCGACAAAAAAGUUUCAAAAAACGCUUGCUAAAACGGAUUUGAUGCGUAUAAUUCGCAUCCCACGGUUGAGGCGCUGCCCUCGCCGAGAGUUCUUUAAAAGUGAGAUCAAGCAAUGCGUGUGGGCGCUUGCGAGGCAAUCGGCGACACAAGAUUGUCAGACGCAAGUGACUCAUCAAUUCAUCAGUAAUGAUGUUUUAAGGUUAACGAGCGUCUGAGCACGAUUUAAGAUUCUUGAGGUAUUCAGAUAGUUGUUUGCAGUUGUCUGAAAUAAGAAUCGCACUCUUUAAACUGAAGAGUUUGAUCAUGGCUCAGAUUGAACGCUGGCGGCAGGCCUAACACAUGCAAGUCGAGCGAGAAAGCCCUUCGGGGUGAGUACAGCGGCGGACGGGUGAGUAACGCGUGGGAAUCUGCCCAGUAGUGGGGGACAACAGCCGGAAACGGCUGCUAAUACCGCAUACGCCCUACGGGGGAAAGCAGGGGAUCUUCGGACCUUGUGCUAUUGGAUGAGCCCGCGUCAGAUUAGCUUGUUGGUGGGGUAAUGGCCUACCAAGGCGACGAUCUGUAGCUGGUCUGAGAGGAUGAUCAGCCACAUCGGGACUGAGACACGGCCCGAACUCCUACGGGAGGCAGCAGUGGGGAAUAUUGGACAAUGGGGGCAACCCUGAUCCAGCCAUGCCGCGUGUGUGAAGAAGGCCUUCGGGUUGUAAAGCACUUUCAGCGAGGAGGAAAGCCUGAUGGCUAAUACCCAUCGGGGGUGACGUUACUCGCAGAAGAAGCACCGGCUAACUCCGUGCCAGCAGCCGCGGUAAUACGGAGGGUGCAAGCGUUAAUCGGAAUUACUGGGCGUAAAGCGCACGUAGGCGGCGAGUUAAGCUAGCUGUGAAAGCCCCGGGCUCAACCUGGGAACUGCAGUUAGAACUGGCUAGCUAGAGUACGGUAGAGGAGUGUGGAAUUUCCUGUGUAGCGGUGAAAUGCGUAGAUAUAGGAAGGAACAUCAGUGGCGAAGGCGACACUCUGGACUGAUACUGACGCUGAGGUGCGAAAGCGUGGGGAGCAAACAGGAUUAGAUACCCUGGUAGUCCACGCCGUAAACGAUGUCUACUAGCCGUUGGGAGCCUUGAGCUCUUAGUGGCGCAGCUAACGCACUAAGUAGACCGCCUGGGGAGUACGGCCGCAAGGUUAAAACUCAAAUGAAUUGACGGGGGCCCGCACAAGCGGUGGAGCAUGUGGUUUAAUUCGACGCAACGCGAAGAACCUUACCAGGCCUUGACAUCCUUGGAACUUAGCAGAGAUGCUUUGGUGCCUUCGGGAGCCAAGUGACAGGUGCUGCAUGGCUGUCGUCAGCUCGUGUCGUGAGAUGUUGGGUUAAGUCCCGUAACGAGCGCAACCCUUGUCCUUAGUUGCCAGCACGUAAUGGUGGGAACUCUAAGGAGACUGCCGGUGACAAACCGGAGGAAGGUGGGGACGACGUCAAGUCAUCAUGGCCCUUACGGCCUGGGCUACACACGUGCUACAAUGGGCGGUACAAAGGGUUGCCAAUCCGCGAGGUGGAGCUAAUCCCGAAAAACCGUUCGUAGUCCGGAUUGGAGUCUGCAACUCGACUCCAUGAAGUCGGAAUCGCUAGUAAUCGUGAAUCAGAAUGUCACGGUGAAUACGUUCCCGGGCCUUGUACACACCGCCCGUCACACCAUGGGAGUGGGUUGCACCAGAAGUGGCUAGUCUAACCUCGGAGGACGGUCACCACGGUGUGAUUCAUGACUGGGGUGAAGUCGUAACAAGGUAGCCCUAGGGGAACCUGGGGCUGGAUCACCUCCUUA
Molecule: ribosomal RNA, 2056 nt
Filed under: Marinimicrobium koreense
Lineage: Bacteria; Pseudomonadati; Pseudomonadota; Gammaproteobacteria; Cellvibrionales; Cellvibrionaceae
Description: bacterial SSU rRNA
Rfam family: Bacterial small subunit ribosomal RNA (bases 525-2056)
Source: RNAcentral